Mya arenaria is the source of this 346-nucleotide long non-coding RNA. RefSeq lists it as uncharacterized. The record is from RefSeq and is a predicted model, not a curated record. The transcript has 2 exons. Lineage: Eukaryota; Metazoa; Mollusca; Bivalvia; Myida; Myidae.
CUGUGGACCUGGGAUUGUAAACACGAACAAGACGAUCCAGGACCGUGUCGGCAAGCUCCAGAGAGUCUAUGACGCCACACUGGACAAGAUCCACCCCAUCAUCACCAAGGUUGAAUUCGACCCCUCCUCCAUGAACGCCCAGAUGCAGCUUGCUAAUGUCCACAUCACUGUCCGCCUGAACGGACGCGACCAGAGCUACAAGACGACUGUGCCCUACAGCAUGAUGAACCUGCCAACCACAGCCCACAACAUGGCCAUGGAGUUCUGGGGAAAGUCACAAUAAAUGAACUAGUAUUAGCCCUAGUGUGUGGACUGUUUAGCACAUAAUAAAGGAAUAAACAAUCAA